AUAUAUUAUAGAAUUGUGGAUCAUCAAUGACAGGUGGCAUCAUCACUCAAACUUCCAAUAAACUAAGCUGAAGGUUUGGCUGCAUCAGGACAAGAAGAUAUAUUAUAGAAUUAUGGAUCAUCAAUGACGGGUGCACCUUCAAAUCAUGUUCUCUAUUCACUUGUACCCAACAGUAAGAGAAGCAGUAAGCCUCAUUGCACGUCUCAUUACUUGCCUUGCAAUAAGUGAAAUGGAAAACAGAGCGAGUGGGAAUCAGGUGAUCACAUCGGAGAAUGUUUUCGUAGGUCCUCCGGAAGAUCACGAAAACCUAGUGUUACUGCUCAAACUGUCAGUUGUGAAGCUAACGAUGACGGUGUCGGUGCCCAGUGAAUGCCUCCGAUACGUCCAC
This 388-nucleotide long non-coding RNA is filed under the name Musa acuminata (dwarf banana). RNAcentral's name for it is "long non-coding RNA (MACU_LNC005764)". Lineage: Eukaryota; Viridiplantae; Streptophyta; Magnoliopsida; Zingiberales; Musaceae. The record is from RNAcentral.